GAGGGAACUGCUAUUAUUUUUGAAGCAACGUGAUAUAUUGAACAGAAUUAUAGUUUUCUUUUCAAUAUGUACCUAAAAACAACUUCCUAGAGGAUAUUAAAUUCUGCACAGCAGAAAAACAGUCGAACGUGACCUGCCUAGAGCCACAUAGCUGCAUUCGAUCAUACGUUCCCUUCGAGUUAUCAAGAAUCUAUGUGAAUGGGUGUGUAUAAAAGGAAAAGGGAUACACGGUAUCAUUGUGCCAAUAGAGAAAUGAACUGUCAGAUAAGAGGACGGGGACGAUUAUAGAGACAGAUAAGCCGACGGAUAGCCAUGGUACACGGGGGCAGCUUUCAUUUUAUGAUCCCUCGUACGCGUUCGUUCCGGUUCGAAAGAAAAAUAAAACUAAAUCGACUAGAAGGAUGCACGAUGGAUUGAUAAAUUAUUGACACUGCCUUUGAACUUUAUAAUCAGUUCAUUGAGUAGAAGGGCGCAUAGAAAGGAAUUCAGUAAUUUCGUUAUCUGAUGCCAUAAAGGACCAUUUCCUGACGAAACAAUUUCUAAACAAAGAGUGCCGUAUAAAUAGCGAAUAUAAAAAUUAAAUUUUUGAGGUUAUGACUUAUUAAAAAUUCAACGAAAGCUUUGUCUUAAAAAGUAAAUUAGAUAUCGGCCAUUGAAAGACACUUUUAUCGCGAAGAGAAAUGACUUUGGUAUUAACAGAAGCUUAUCAGGGAAAAUUGAACGUAAAUUUGUAAUAACAUUAAGGAUGAACGAAGAAGUAAUAACUUUCAUGGAGUUAAUUAAAGGUAAAUGGAAUAACAGUGUCUGAAAGUAUAGGAGAAGCUUCACAAUGAAAAUACAGUUGGGUUCACGAAAGCAGAAACUGGCGGAAGUUAAACUUGAUCAAAGAAAGUGUUUCCAGAUUUCAGUCAAAGGAUGUGAUAUAUUUUUAUCACGGACUUCAUUCGAAAUAAGAUCUGUACUUUAUCUGAAAGCUUCGACAUAAUUCGUAUUUUACGGCUGAAAAAGUUGCCAGCUUGCUGAGAAGUUGUUGCAUAAAUUCAUAGCGUGCGGAAAAUACGUUCAAUUUUCGCGGAAAUCGAGGGAAAUCUUAGAAACGUUAGAUGAAAAUCGAUUUUAAGUUUCUCUCGGAUUAUUUGGUGGCUUUAAUUUUUUAAAUUUGAAAAUUGAACAAGUAUUAUUAUCACCAAUUAAAACAAUUUUUUAAUGAAAAGUUGUAGA
Molecule: long non-coding RNA, 1221 nt
Organism: Osmia lignaria (orchard mason bee)
Lineage: Eukaryota; Metazoa; Arthropoda; Insecta; Hymenoptera; Megachilidae
Source: RefSeq, a predicted model, not a curated record